This 1001-nucleotide ribosomal RNA is filed under the name uncultured organism. Its description in RNAcentral is "bacterial SSU rRNA". It matches the Rfam family "Bacterial small subunit ribosomal RNA", at positions 122 to 1105 of the family's 1533-position model. The record is from RNAcentral.
UAAUCUGCCUCCCGGUGGGGGACAACGGCAUGGAAACGGCCGCUAAUACCGCAUGCGGUUGUCCGCGCUACGGCGCGUGAAAGAAAGGCGCUUUGUGGCGUCGCCGGGAGAUGACUCCGCCCCCCAUUAGCUAGGUGGUGAGAUAAAAGCCCACCAAGGCAACGAUGGGUAGCCGAGCUGAGAGGUUGAUCGGCCACACUGGGACUGAGACACCGCCCAGACACCUACGGGUGGCAGUAGUGUGGAAUCUUGGACAAUGGGCUAAAGCCUGAUCCAGCCAUGCCGCGUGGAGGAUGAACGCCUUCGGGUCGUAAACUCCUUUUCUGAGGGAAGAACCCCGCGCGCAGGAAAUGGCGUGCGGCUGACGGUACCUCAGGAAUAAGCAACGGCUAACUCCGUGCCAGCAUCCGCGGUAAUACGGAGGUUGCGAGCGUUGUUCGGAAUUACUGGUCGUAAAGGUAGCGCACGCGGUCUGGUCAGUCUGAAGUGAAAUCCCGAGGAUCAACUUCGGACCUGCUUUCGGAUACUGCCAGGCUUGAGUACGCGAGAGUAGAGUGGAAUUCCAGGUGUAGCGAUGAAAUGCGUAGAUAUCUGGAGGAACACCGGUGGCGAAAGCGGCUCUCUGGCGCGUUACUGACGCUGAGGCUCGAAACCGUGAGGAGCGAACGGGAUUAGAUACCCCGGAAGUCCACGCCGUAAACUUUAUUCACUAGGUGUGGAAGAGAUCGACACCUUGCGUGCCGCAGAUAACGCACUAAUUGCACCUCCUAGGGAGUUCGGUCGCCGUGUUGAAUCUCAAAGGAAUUGAUGGGGGCCCGCACAAUCAGUGGAGCAAGUAGUUUAAUUGGAGGCAACUCAAAGAACCUUAACCAGACUAGACAUCCCAGUACCCCCGCGGAAACACGGUAUUCCCUUCGGGGACCUGGUGACAGGUGCAGACAUGGCUGUCGUCACCUCGUGUCGUGAGAUGUUGGGUUAAGUCCCGCAACGAGCGCAACCCC